CUGAAAUGUGAUCCAGAGAAUCCUCCUUUAAGGAUAAAAAAGAAGAAAAGGAAAACAGUAAGAAAGUUGUCUUUCCGUCUGAAGUACAUUAAAACUAAGAACAAUCUUUAUGUGAAAAAAAAAGUUACAUAAAAGGUCUCACUGAAGCAGAGUACCCAGUGACUUCUGAGGCUGCAGGCCAUGAGACUCUCCUCUGGUGGUCUGAUGACAGCCUGCAUCUUGGGCCCAAGACGGGACCAGCAGACCAUGGGCUCUAGCAGCCAAAGCCUGCAAGGAAGAGAAUACCCUGAUGCCAAGUUCUGGAAACAUGGCUCUGGAGGGCACGUUGGAGCAAGGUCAGCUGUCAUAGGAAGGCACGUUGGUGGCAUUUCAGGACAGCACAACUACAGCUAUGCGUGGGACAUGUAAUGGUAAGCCAGAUUAAUGUCUGCCCACGGAGGGAGAUACCCUGGGGAACAGAUCGCUUUCAUACACUGAGGGGCUCUGGUAGUGGCAAGAGGCCUGCCUGGUUUUGUGGCGAGAAGCAUCAGAAGUUACUGAAAGAGCUAAUGUCUGAACUGAAUUUUUGUCAGGAAAAGAAAGGCUUUCCUAGAAGAGGACACAUCUUGAGUUAAGGCAGAGAGGCAAGAAUAGCAUGGUGUGGGUAAGGAAUUAAAAGCAGAGUAUUGUUUAAAUGAAAGUGUGGAGCAGCUAGGUUUAUAUUUCCACGUCUAGAGGCACAGAUAGGAUUUAUUCUGGCUUCUUGACCAUCUGAUGAAAACCUGGGGAUGCAUCGCUGGCCCCAUUAGUUUUAUGGCUGAUGGUUAUUUGACUUUUCUGAUACUGCUGAUUUUUGUUGGUAGAGGUAAAGUUAAAAACAAGGCUUCAAGGAGUGAAGCCGCUUCACUUGCUUUCUCUUUUGGUCCACCUACUCCACCAUUUACAGCAUCCUGGCUUCUCUGGCUCCUCCCAGUCCUCGACCCCAUCUCCCCCAUCUUACCAGCUGUUUACACCUUUCUCCAGGCUACCCUCCCACUUUUUGACAUUGACAUUUUAGCUCCUCCUCUUCUACUCUGAGAUGCUCUGCCCCCUGGAGGAACUCUUCCUAGAUCAUCUUUGUCUGCAUUUGUCUUUCCUGCCUCUGAACUCCUAAAGCACAUGGUCUCAAUCACUGGUUUGACACUUGCUUAUAUAUAUGAACUGUUGUUUUUUACUGAAUAAUGAGAGCCAGGUACCGUGUUAGUUAUAUUUUAUGCUUGGCAAAUAUGUGUUGAUAAUUUACAUGUAGAUGUAUUAUGUAGUUGAUGUGACGUAAGUCACCAAGGUAAGAUUUGUUAGCCUGAGGUCCACAAACUCCUUGACAUUUUGUGUAACAUGUAUGAUGUGUAUAUAUAUAUAUAUGUAUUCUCUGGGGUGUAGGUCUGUGACUUUCAUUACUACCUCAAAGGGAUCUAUGACUCCAAAAUGUUUAAGAACUACAGGAUUGAGGCAAAAUAAAAAAUAUAAGAAGUGCUGGUUCAGCUGAGAAGAACUGGGCAAGCAUUAGCUGAGCUCUAAUUGCAGAAUUAUAUAAUAACUACACAUAAUGAGAGAUUAGGAUUGGUUGACAUCUCAUAGUCUGCCAUGUAUAAAAUACCAAAUUUAUGAAAGUAUAAACGUACAUGUAUUUAUAAAUUACAUAUAUCUAAAAGUAAUAUAGAUACAUAAAAUUAAACCUCACUUUAUUAUUAGGAAUCAUAUUUCUCUGUGUUAUAGCAAUUUAAAGAUCAGGCUAAGACUAAUAGAUGUCACUUCCCUUUUGCCUACAACUUUUCUAUAUACUAUAUUCUUUCACUCAUAAAAAUUGAAUAAGAAUUUUUAAUAUCAAUCUUUAAAUGUUAAAGUUCCUUUUAAAAGACCAAUGACUUUAUUUUUUAAAUUAAAAGUAAAUGAAACAUUGUCACUAAUUUUUUUCCCCUUCAUCUAUUUCACCCAUUCCCCACCAUCCCCUUUGGCAACAGUCUGUUCUCUAUGUCUGUGAAUCUGGUUUUGUUUUGUUUGGCUGGUUUUUUUAGAUUCUGCAUGUAAGUGAAACCAUAUUGUAUUUGUCUUUCUCUGAUUUUUUUCAUUUCAUGUAAUACUCUUUAGGCCCAUGUUGUCACAAAUGGCAAGAUCUCAUUCUUUUUUAAGGCUGAGUAAUAUUCCAUUGUGUGUGUGCACACGCACACACACACACUACAUUUUUUGUAUCCAUUUAUCUGUCAGUGUACAUUCAGGUUGCUUCCAUAUUUUGGCUGCUGUAAAUAAUGCGAUAAGCAUAGGAGUAUGUAUAUUUUUUCAUAUUAGUUAUUUUGUUUUCUCUGAAUAAAAUCUCAGUAGUCAAAUUAUUGGGUCGUAUGGUAUUUCUAUUUUUAGUUUUUUGAGCAACCUCCAUACUACUUUCCAUAGUGGCUCUACCAAUUUGCAGUCCUGCCAGCAAUGUGCAAGAGUUCCCUUUUCUCCACAUCCUUGCCAGCAUUUACUGUUUGUCUUGUUGAUGUUAGCCACUAUGGCUGGUAUGAGGUGAUAUCUCAUAGUGGCUUUGAUUUGUAUUUCCUUGAUGAUUAGUGAUGUUGAACAUAUUUUCAUGUGUCUUGGCCGUCUGUAUGUCUUCUUUGGAAAAAUGAAUAUUCAUUUCCUCUGCCCAUUUAAAAUCAGUUAUUUAGUUUCUUUUAGUGUUAGUUGUGUGAGUUCUUUAUAUAUUUUGGAUAUUAGUCCGUUAUCAGAUACAUCAUUUGCAAACAUAUUCUCCCACAUAAUAAGCUGCCUUUUUGUUUUGUUUAUGGUUUCCUUUGCAGAGAAGAAGGUUUUUAAUUUGAUGUAUUCCUAUUUGUUUUUGUUUCCCUUGCCUGGGAAGGCAUAUCCAGAAAACAACUAGUGUCGAUGUUCAAGAGUGUACUGCCUAUAUUUCUUCUAGGAGUUUUAUGGUUUCAGGUCUUAAUCCAUUUUGAGUUUAUUUUUCUGUAUGAUGUAAGACACUGAUCCAGUUGCAUUCUUUAACAUGUAGCUGGCUAGUUUUCCUAACCCCAUUUAUUGAAGAGAUUCUUUUCCCCAUUGUAUAUUCUUGCGUCCUUUGUCAUGUAUGAAUUGACAAUAUAGAUGUGGGUAUAUUUCUAGGCCUUUUAUUCUGGUCAUUGGUCUAUGCAUCUGUUUUUGUGCCAGUAACAUACGGUUUUGAUUACUUAUAGGUUGAAAUCAGGGAGCAUAAAACCCCCAAGCUUUGUUCUUUCUCAAGGUUGCUUUGUAUAUUCAGGGUCUUUUGUGGUUCCAUUCAAAUUUCAGGAUUGUUUGCUUUAGUUCACUGAAAAAUGCCAUUGGUAUUUUGAUAGGGAUCACACUGAAUCUGUAGAUUGCUUUGGGAAGUAUGGACAUUUUAACAAUAUUAAUUCUUCCUAUCCAUGAGCACAGAAUAGCUUUCCAUUUGUUUGUGUCUUAUUCAGUUCCUUUCACCAAUGUGUUACAGUUUUCAGAGUACAGGUCUUUCACUUCUUCGGGGAGCUUUGUUCCUAGGUAUUUUAUUCUAUUUGAUGCAGUUGUACAUGGGAUUGAUUUCUUAAUUUCUCUUUCUCCUAGUUCAUUAUUUGUUUAUAGAAGUGAAACAUUUCUCUAUAUUGAUUUUGUAUUGUGUGACCUUACUGAAUUAAUUCUGAUAGAUUUUUGAAGGCAUGUUUAGGAUUUUCUAUAUAUGGUGUCCUGUUAUUCUACAAAUAGUAAUUUUACUUCUUCUUUACCAAGUUGGAUGCUUUUAUUUCUUUUCCUUUUCUAUUGCUAUGGUUAAGACUUCCAGUACUAUGUUGAAUAAAAGUGGUGAAAGCAUGCAUCCUUAUCUUGUUCCUGAUCUUAGAGGAGGCUUUCAGCUUUUUGCCAUUGAGUAUGAUAUUUAUUGGCUGAGGGGUUUGUCAUACAUCACCUUUAUUAUGUUGAGCUGUUUCCUCUUUAUCCACUUUGUUGAGAGUUUUCAUCAUGAAUAGAUGUUAAAUGUAAAAAAUUUUUAGAAUGUAUGGAGAUCAUGUUUUUUAUCCCUUAGUUAAUGUGAUAUAUCAUAUCGAUUGAUGUGUGGAUACUGAACCAUCCUUGCAUCCCUAGAUAAAUCCCACUUGGUCAUGGUGAAUGAUCCUUUCAAUGUAUUUUUUUAAAUUAAGGUAUCAUUGAUAUACACUCUUAUGAAGAUUUCUCAAGAAACACAAGGUGGUUAUUAAAUUCACCCUUAUUAUCGAGUUCCCCCCCACCGAUACCCAUUGCAGUCACUGUCCAUCAGUGCAGUAAGAUGCCACAGAUUCCCUAUUUGUGUUCUCUGAGCUACACUGUCUUUCCCAUGACCCCACAUACACCAGGGGCACUAGUCAUGAUAUCCCAUGAUCCCCUUCUCCCUCCCUCCCCACCACUCCCCUUUGGUAGUCCCUUCUUGGAGUCUGUGAGUCUGCUGCUCUUUUGUUCCUUCAGUUUUGCUUUGUUGUUACACUCAACAAAUGAGGGAAAUAAUUUGGUAUUUGUCUUUCUCUGCCUGACUUAUUUCACUGAGCAUAAUACCCUCUAACUCCAUCCAUGUUGUUGCAAAUGGUAGGAUUUGUUUCUUUCUUAAGGCUGAAUAAUAUUCCAUUGUGUAUAUGUACCACAUCUUGUACCACAUCUCUUUUAUCCAUUCAUUUCCUGAUGGACACUGAGGUUGCUUCCAUCUCUUGGCUAUUGUAAACAGUGCUGCGAUAAACAUAGGGGUGCACAUGUCUAUUUGAGUCUGAGAAGUUGUUUUCUUUGGGUAAAUUCCUAGGAGUGGAAUUCCCGGGUCAAAUGGUAUUUCUAUUUUGAGUUUUUUGAGGAAACUCCAUACUGCUUUCCAUAAUGGUUGAACCCUAUUUUACAUUCCCACCAGCAGCGUAGGAGGGUUCCCCUUUCUCUACAUCCUUGCCAACAUUUGUUGUUGUUUGUCUUUUGGAUGUUGGCCAUCCUAACUGGUGUGAGGUGAUACCUCAUUGUGGUUUUAAUUUGCAUUUCUCUGAUGAUUAGCGAUGUGGAGCAUCUUCUCAUGUGCCUGUUGGCCAUCUGUAUUUCUUUUUGGAGAACUGUCUGUUCAUAUCCUCCACCCAUUUUUUAAUAGGGCUAUUUGCUUUUUGGGUGUUGAGGAGUGUGAGUUCUUUAUAUAUUUUGGGUGUUAACACCUUGUUGGAUAUGUCAUUUACAAAUAUAUUCUCCCAUAAUGUGAGAUGCCUUUUUGUUCUGCUGAUGGUGUCUUUUGCUGUACAAAAGCUUUUUAGCUUGAUGUAGUUCCAUUUGUUCAUUUUUUUAUUUUGUUUUCCUUGUCCAAGGAGAUGAGUUCAGGAAAAAAUUGCUCAUGUUUAUAUUCAAGAGAUUUUUGCCUAUGUUUUCUUCUAUGAGUUUUAUGGUUUU
This is a long non-coding RNA of Manis pentadactyla (Chinese pangolin), 5382 nucleotides long. RefSeq lists it as uncharacterized. Lineage: Eukaryota; Metazoa; Chordata; Mammalia; Pholidota; Manidae. The transcript is spliced from 3 exons. The record is from RefSeq and is a predicted model, not a curated record.